Molecule: ribosomal RNA, 444 nt
Filed under: uncultured bacterium
Lineage: Bacteria
Description: bacterial SSU rRNA
Rfam family: Bacterial small subunit ribosomal RNA
Source: RNAcentral
GACUCCUACGGGAGGCAGCAGUGGGGAAUAUUGCACAAUGGGCGCAAGCCUGAUGCAGCAACGCCGUGUGAGUGAAGAAGGUUUUCGGAUCGUAAAACUCUGUCCUAAGGGAAGAAACAAAUGACGGUACCUUAGGAGGAAGCCCCGGCUAACUACGUGCCAGCAGCCGCGGUAAUACGUAGGGGGCAAGCGUUAUCCGGAAUCACUGGGCGUAAAGGGUGCGUAGGCGGCUUAGCAAGCCAGGGGUGAAAGGCAUUGGCUCAACCAAUGUAAGCCUUUGGAACUGUUAAGCUUGAGUGCAGGAGAGGUAAGUGGAAUUCCUAGUGUAGAGGUGAAAUUCGUAGAUAUUAGGAGGAACACCAGUGGCGAAGGCGACUUACUGGACUGUAACUGACGCUGAUGCACGAAAGCGUGGGUAGCGAACAGGAUUAGAUACCCUGGUGG